Molecule: ribosomal RNA, 801 nt
Filed under: uncultured Actinomycetes bacterium
Lineage: Bacteria; Bacillati; Actinomycetota; Actinomycetes
Description: bacterial SSU rRNA
Rfam family: Bacterial small subunit ribosomal RNA
Source: RNAcentral
AAAGGGCUCGUAGGUGGUUGAUCGCGUCGGAAGUGUAAUCUUGGGGCUUAACCCUGAGCGUGCUUUCGAUACGGGUUGACUUGAGGAAGGUAGGGGAGAAUGGAAUUCCUGGUGGAGCGGUGGAAUGCGCAGAUAUCAGGAGGAACACCAGUGGCGAAGGCGGUUCUCUGGGCCUUUCCUGACGCUGAGGAGCGAAAGCGUGGGGAGCGAACAGGCUUAGAUACCCUGGUAGUCCACGCUGUAAACGGUGGGUACUAGGUGUGGGGUCCAUUCCACGGGUUCCGCGCCGUAGCUAACGCUUUAAGUACCCCGCCUGGGGAGUACGGCCGCAAGGCUAAAACUCAAAGGAAUUGACGGGGCCCCGCACAAGCGGCGGAGCAUGCGGAUUAAUUCGAUGCAACGCGUAGAACCUUACCUGGGUUUGACAUGGAUCGGGAGUGCUCAGAGAUGGGUGUGCCUCUUUUGGGGUCGGUUCACAGGUGGUGCAUGGCUGUCGUCAGCUCGUGUCGUGAGAUGUUGGGUUAAGUCCCGCAACGAGCGCAACCCUUGUUCACUGUUGCCAGCACGUUAUGGUGGGGACUCAGUGGAGACCGCCGGGGUCAACCUCGGAGGAAGGUGGGGAUGACGUCAAGUCAUCAUGCCCCUUAUGUCCAGGGCUUCACGCAUGCUACAAUGGCUGGUACAGAGAGUGGCGAGCCUGUGAGGGUGAGCGAAUCUCGGAAAGCCGGUCUCAGUUCGGAUUGGGGUCUGCAACUCGACCUCAUGAAGUCGGAGUCGCUAGUAAUCGCAGAUCAGCAACGC